ACCCCAAACCGACACAGGUGGUCAGGUAGAGAAUACCAAGGCGCUUGAGAGAACUCGGGUGAAGGAACUAGGCAAAAUGGUGCCGUAACUUCGGGAGAAGGCACGCUGAUAUGUAGGUGAAGUCCCUGCGGACGGAGCUGAAAUCAGUCGAAGAUACCAGCUGGCUGCAACUGUUUAUUAAAAACACAGCACUGUGCAAACACGAAAGUGGACGUAUACGGUGUGACGCCUGCCCGGUGCCGG
Molecule: ribosomal RNA, 243 nt
Filed under: Enterobacter hormaechei
Lineage: Bacteria; Pseudomonadati; Pseudomonadota; Gammaproteobacteria; Enterobacterales; Enterobacteriaceae
Description: partial 23S ribosomal RNA
Rfam family: Bacterial large subunit ribosomal RNA
Source: RNAcentral